AUAGAACAUUGCAAUUAUUGUUCUUCAACGAGGAAUGCCUAGUAAGCGCGAGUCAUCAUCUCGCGUUGAUUACGUCCCUGCCCUUUGUACACACCGCCCGUCGCUCCUACCGAUUGAACGUGCUGGUGAAGCGUUAGGACUGGAGACUUUGGGCCGGUUCGCCUGCCCAUCGCUUCGGGAAUUUCGUUGAACCCUCCCGUUUAGAGGAAGGAGAAGUCGUAACAAGGUCUCCGUAGGUGAACCUGCGGAGGGAUCAUUGAAACCGAUCAAACCACUCACAGAGCACCUGCGGGCCCCCUGCGGGCCCGCCGUAGUGAACCAGGAGCCCGGCCGCGUCGGCGCGUGCCCGCAACCCCCGGCAUCCGGGGGCCGGCCGCGUCUGGCGCGCUGGGCCCUGUCCAACGCAACAAACCCUCUGCCCUGAAGCAGCUUCGCAAGGGGACACCCCGCGCGACGUUAACUGAGACAACUCUCAACAACGGAUAUCUUGGCUCUCGCAACGAUGAAGAACGCAGCGAAAUGCGAUACGUAGUGUGAAUUGCAGAAUUCCGUGAGUCAUCGAAUCUUUGAACGCACAUUGCCGGUCGACUCUCCGGAGGAGACCACAUCUGCCUCAGCGUCGGAAUACCCCCUCACGCGGCCGCGUCUCUGGACGCGGCGCGUGGAGCUGGCCCCCCCGGCCUGCGUCUCUCGACGCGGGCCGGGCCGGCUGAAAUGCAGAGGCUCGUCCGCGGCCCACUCAGUGGCCCCGACUAGGUAGGUAGCUCGCUACUGCUAGGCGGCGGCCCGGUGCUGCGGGCUCUGGGCCCAAAGGAUACCCCCAUUCCAUCGACCUGAGUUCAGGUGAGGCUA
Molecule: ribosomal RNA, 852 nt
Filed under: Ulva sp. HaiN
Lineage: Eukaryota; Viridiplantae; Chlorophyta; Ulvophyceae; Ulvales; Ulvaceae
Description: eukaryotic LSU rRNA
Rfam family: Eukaryotic small subunit ribosomal RNA (bases 1-259)
Source: RNAcentral